GCCAGACUCCUACGGGAGGCAGCAGUGGGGGAUAUUGCACAAUGGGGGGAACCCUGAUGCAGCGACGCCGCGUGGGUGAAGGAGUGCUUCGGCAUGUAAAGCCCUAUCGGCAGGGAAGAAGCAAGACGGUACCUGACUAAGAAGCCCCGGCUAACUACGUGCCAGCAGCCGCGGUAAUACGUAGGGGGCAAGCGUUAUCCGGAUUUACUGGGUGUAAAGGGAGCGUAGACGGCAGUGCAAGUCUGAAGUGAAAGGCGGGGGCCCAACCCCCGGACUGCUUUGGAAACUGUGCUGCUGGAGUGCAGGAGAGGCAAGUGGAAUUCCUAGUGUAGCGGUGAAAUGCGUAGAUAUUAGGAGGAACACCAGUGGCGAAGGCGGCCUACUGGACGGUGACUGACGCUGAGGCUCGAAAGCGUGGGGAGCAAACAGGAUUAGAUACCCGGGUAA
Molecule: ribosomal RNA, 447 nt
Filed under: uncultured bacterium
Lineage: Bacteria
Description: bacterial SSU rRNA
Rfam family: Bacterial small subunit ribosomal RNA
Source: RNAcentral